RNAcentral lists this ribosomal RNA (39 nucleotides) under Peronospora violae. RNAcentral's name for it is "partial 28S ribosomal RNA". The record is from RNAcentral. Lineage: Eukaryota; Oomycota; Peronosporomycetes; Peronosporales; Peronosporaceae.
GUGGACCUGAUAUCAGGCAAGAUUACCCGCUGAACUUAA